Molecule: ribosomal RNA, 474 nt
Filed under: uncultured bacterium
Lineage: Bacteria
Description: SSU rRNA
Rfam family: Bacterial small subunit ribosomal RNA
Source: RNAcentral
AGGACGAACGCUGGCGGCGUGCUUAACACAUGCAAGUCGAGCGGAAAGGCCCUUCGGGGUACUCGAGCGGCGAACGGGUGAGUAACACGUGAGCAACCUGCCCUUAGCUCUGGGAUAGCUCCGGGAAACCGGAAUUAAUACCGGAUACGACCUAGGCCGACAUCGGCCGUGGUGGAAAGUUUUUCGGCUAGGGAUGGACUCGCGGCCUAUCAGCUAGUUGGUGGGGUAAAGGCCUACCAAGGCGACGACGGGUAGCCGGCCUGAGAGGGCGACCGGCCACACUGGGACUGAGACACGGCCCAGACUCCUACGGGAGGCAGCAGUGGGGAAUCUUGCGCAAUGGGCGAAAGCCUGACGCAGCGACGCCGCGUGGGGGAUGAAGGCCUUCGGGUUGUAAACCCCUUUCAGCAGGGACGAAGCGAAAGUGACGGUACCUGCAGAAGAAGCGCCGGCUAACUACGUGCCAGCAGCCGC